GAUGAGGAACGUAGCGAAAUGCGAUAAGUAAUGUGAAUUGCAGAAUUCCGUGAAUCAUCGAAUCUUUGAACGCACAUUGCGCCCUCUGGUAUUCCGGGGGGCAUGCCUGUCCGAGCGUCAUUUGCAACCCUCAAGCCCGGCUUGUGUGAUGGGUGCCGUCCCCUACGGGACGCGCCCCGAAGGCAAUGGCGGCGUCGCGGUUAUCCGAUCAGCCAAAGUGUAUGGGGCUUUGUCACUCACUUUACGGCCCGGACCGGCGCCAGUCCGAAUCAAUCUUUUUUCUAAAGUUGACCUCGGAUCAGGUAGGGAUACCCGCUGAACUUAAGCAUAUCAAUAAGCGGAGGA
This 345-nucleotide unclassified non-coding RNA is filed under the name soil metagenome. Its description in RNAcentral is "partial contains 5.8S ribosomal RNA, internal transcribed spacer 2, and large subunit ribosomal RNA". The stretch from base 1 to 120 matches the Rfam family "5.8S ribosomal RNA", at positions 35 to 154 of the family's 154-position model. The record is from RNAcentral.